This 357-nucleotide unclassified non-coding RNA is filed under the name Hevea brasiliensis (rubber tree). Lineage: Eukaryota; Viridiplantae; Streptophyta; Magnoliopsida; Malpighiales; Euphorbiaceae. The record is from RNAcentral.
GAAAUAAGUUUUUUUUUAAGGCAUCUGCAUAGCAAGCAUUAUUCUCUUCAUGGCAUUUUACAUCAUGUUAGGAGGAUGUUUUUCCAUAUCAUUCAUUACCAUUUGAUCUGUUUCUCCCUUGUUUUUUGGCAACAUAAUUUGAAUUUUGAGAGGUACUCUAUAUAUGAUCGUGUGGUUUAGGAUAUUUGCAUUUUCUCAAGUAUGAUUCUGUUUAGUGAGGGGUGAGUAAGCCUAGGAGUCACUAUCUUGUGUACGGGGAUUUCUUUUGAAAUUUUAUUCCAUUUUGUAUACAUGUUAAUUUUCUUCUCCCUUGAUUGCGAUUGCUUGUAUGGUGGGGUGGUUGCUAUGCCGUGCUCU